GACGAACGCUGGCGGCGUGCUUAACACAUGCAAGUCGAACGGAAAGGCCCCUUUUGCGGUCCUCGUGUGGCGAACGGGUGCGUAAAACGUGAGUAACCUUCCCUGGACUUCGGGAUAACCUUAGGAAACUGGGGCCAAUACCGGAUAGGAAUCCUUGCUGCAAGGUGGGGGUUGGAAAGCUUCGGCGGUUUUGGAUGGACUGGCGGCUUAUCGGCUUGUUGGUGGGGUAGUGGCUUACCAAGGCUUUGACCGGUAGCCGGCCAGAGAGGGUGACCGGCCACACUGGCACUGAGAGACGGCAGAGGCUGCGACGGGUGGAAACUGUGGGGAAGAUUGCACCAGGCGCGGCGGCUGGAUGCAGCAGGUCCGCGUGCGGGAAGACGGCCUUCGUGUUGUAAAACGGUUUCAGCAGGGGAGAAGCUUGUGGUGACGGUACCUGCAGAAGAAGCACCGGCUAACUACGUG
This 465-nucleotide ribosomal RNA is filed under the name uncultured bacterium. Its description in RNAcentral is "partial 16S ribosomal RNA". It matches the Rfam family "Bacterial small subunit ribosomal RNA", at positions 28 to 507 of the family's 1533-position model. The record is from RNAcentral.